AGUGAACGCUGGCGGCAGGCCUAAUACAUGCAAGUCGAACGGCAGCACAGUGGAGCUUGCUCCAUGGGUGGCGAGUGGCGGACGGGCGAGGAAUACAUGGGAAUCUGCCCAGUCGUGGGGGAUAACGUAGGGAAACUUACGCUAAUACCGCAUGCGCCCUUCGGGGGAAAGCCGGGGACCUUCGGGCCUGGCGCGAUUGGAUGAGCCCAUGUUCGAUUAGCUAGUUGGCGGGGUAAAGGCCCACCAAGGCGACGAUCGAUAGCUGGUCUGAGAGGAUGAUCAGCCACACUGGGACUGAGACACGGCCCAGACUCCUACGGGAGGUAGCAGUAGGGAAUAUUGGACAAUGGGCGCAAGCCUGAUCCAGCCAUGCCGCGUGAGUGAAGAAGGCCCUCGGGUUGUAAAGCUCUUUUGUCCGGGAAGAAAAGCAUCGGGCUAAUACCUCGGUGUUCUGACGGUACCGGAAGAAUAAGCACCGGCUAACUUCGUG
This 490-nucleotide ribosomal RNA is filed under the name uncultured bacterium. RNAcentral's name for it is "partial 16S ribosomal RNA". It matches the Rfam family "Bacterial small subunit ribosomal RNA", at positions 29 to 507 of the family's 1533-position model. The record is from RNAcentral.